This 245-nucleotide ribosomal RNA is filed under the name uncultured Oscillospiraceae bacterium. RNAcentral describes it as "partial 16S ribosomal RNA". It matches the Rfam family "Bacterial small subunit ribosomal RNA", at positions 524 to 768 of the family's 1533-position model. Lineage: Bacteria; Bacillati; Bacillota; Clostridia; Eubacteriales; Oscillospiraceae. The record is from RNAcentral.
UACGUAGGUGGCAAGCGUUGUCCGGAUUUACUGGGUGUAAAGGGCGUGCAGCCGGGUGAGCAAGUCAGGCGUGAAAUGCAGGGGCUUAACCCCUGAACUGCGUUUGAAACUGUUCAUCUUGAGUACCGGAGGGGCAAUCGGAAUUCCUAGUGUAGCGGUGAAAUGCGUAGAUAUUAGGAGGAACACCAGUGGCGAAGGCGGAUUGCUGGACGGCAACUGACGGUGAGGCGCGAAAGCGUGGGGAG